CAGCUGAACACCCUAGUAGUGCUAGCCGGCAGCAGUGGCUCCUGAGACCUCCACACCAGAGUCCCGCACACAUUCAAGGCCACCACCUCCUUCAUGCUCCUCUGUGAUCACCUCUCCAAGUCCCGGUGUCAGGAGCCUUCUCUGUGGCCGCCCUGGAGAGACUUGAGCCUGGGACGUGACGUGCUGGGCUGUGAAGCUUUCUGAGAAGGGAAACCUGUGGCCUGACCUGCCUGAAUGCUGCACCCAACCUCAUCUCUUCCUGGGAGGCAGGCUCUCUUCGCUUGUUUUUACAAAUUUGAAACCAACAACUGUCAGCAUUGACACCAUCAGGCCUUUCUCUUCUAAUUUAACCUUGCAGCCAACCACACGGCUAUCUGUGCGGGAUCUCUCCCCAAGCUCAAGGACAUGAGAUGCGGAUCAGGCCCAAGAGGCUGGAUGCCAAACCUAUCCUCUCCAUGUGAAGCACCAACUUGGGGGUGUCAACUAAAAAUAUGAGACCCGUAAACUUGGAAAGGAAGACUUUAUUUCUUGAGAAGGGUUGCAAACUGCAGGCUGGGAAGUGGCACCUCCAGCUGAGACCACAAACAGUGGACUUUCUCAAACUGGGGUAUUGACCUCUGAUGAACCGCCAUGCAAACCCGUGCCUUUCAACAUAAAAAGAAGCCCUUCGAGGUGCUCACCUUCAAGCUUGCUAGAGGAGGAGGAAGAGCAGGUUGAGUUUGACAUAACUAGAAUGGGUUGAGCCUUUCCAGCAGAGUAAGGUUCUUUCAUGGUGGACAGUGGCCACCCACUGCCAUUUCUACAAGAAGAUUUUGCUUCUUA
RNAcentral lists this long non-coding RNA (822 nucleotides) under Homo sapiens (human). RNAcentral's name for it is "long independently transcribed non-coding RNA 2965 (LINC02965)". Lineage: Eukaryota; Metazoa; Chordata; Mammalia; Primates; Hominidae. The record is from RNAcentral.